Piliocolobus tephrosceles (Ugandan red Colobus) is the source of this 904-nucleotide long non-coding RNA. RefSeq lists it as uncharacterized. Lineage: Eukaryota; Metazoa; Chordata; Mammalia; Primates; Cercopithecidae. The transcript has 3 exons. The record is from RefSeq and is a predicted model, not a curated record.
AGUAGUUGGUCAGAACUCUCAUAUUCAAAGACAGAUCUUCCAUCUCCAGCAGCCGAAGACUUAAGCCAUGUUCUGGGUAAAGUAACAAGAGGAAGACAUUUUUCAGAACUCUCCUGAGGAAAUCAAAGGCUUUUGGGGGGCAAUUGGGUGGGUAAGGAUUCUGUAUUUAUAGGUACAAUGUGUCCAAGAUGGAUGGAAGAAGACCUCCUGAAUUGGGAGAUGCCUCUAUCCCCUCCCACCCUGCUCUGUGCCCUGGGAGGCUAAUCUGAAUAGAAGGCAUCAACAGACUCUGUGACCUUCCCCAGGUUUGCCCAAUGAGAGCUGUGGAUCAGUCACAUGACACACUUUGGCCAAUGGGAUGUUUGUAGACACCCUGAGCAGAGGACUGGAAUGGAGUUUCCUUGGGUUGGCCUCUUGGUCACUCUCUCCAAAACGACAGGCCCAUGAAGCAGACCUGUAUCUGACCCAAAGCCUGAAGCAGAGCAGGCCCAGUCAACUCAGAAGUAAGAAAAACAAAUGUUUGUAGUUUGUAGCCACUGAGGUUUGUGGGUUCUUUGCAUACACCAUUAUUGCAGUCAGGGAUUGUAAUUACAGGUAUCUCAGGAGACAGAAGACUGGACGGCAAGGUCAAGGUAUAUACAAAGGGUCACAGGGCUGCUGGGUCCUUUCUUCAAAGUCACAGCUUCUCCGCUCCACGUCUCUCCACGCCUCUCUCUCUCUGGGUUCCAAUAACUACUCAACUGCUCCCUAGCACACCCUGCUGUUGCCUCAAUAGAGUCUCUUUUUUAGAUUAUCUUUGAAUUACCCAGUUUGAGAGUGUCUUCUGUUUCCUGCCUAAACUCUGACUGACAAAAAAAAAAAAAAAAAUCCUCAUAAUCAUCUUAUUAUAUAGGUACUAGUAUCC